UCGCCUGUUUAUCAAAAACAUCGCCUCUUGAGAAAUAUAAGAGGUCCAGCCUGCCCAGUGACUCUGUUCAACGGCCGCGGUAUCCUAACCGUGCGAAGGUAGCGUAAUCACUUGUUCUUUAAAUGAGGACUAGUAUGAAAGGCAUCACGAGGGUUAUACUGUCUCCUUUUUCUAAUUAGUGAAACUAAUCUCCCCGUGAAGAAGCGGGGAUACUUAUAUAAGACGAGAAGACCCUAUGGAGCUUUAAAUAAUAUAACAAUUGCCACUUUAUUCUUAUUAAUUUUUAACAUCUGGCAAUAUGAUUAUUAAUUUUUGGUUGGGGUGACCGCGGAGUAUAACAUAACCUCCACAUUGAAAGGAUUAAUAUCCUAAGCUAAAAACAACAACUUUAAGCAUCAACAAAUUGACAUCAAUUGACCCAAUAUAUUUGAUCAACGAACCAAGUUACCCUAGGGAUAACAGCGCAAUCUACUUUAAGAGCCCAUAUCGACAAGUAGGUUUACGACCUCGAUGUUGGAUCAGGGUAUCCUAGUGGUGCAGCCGCUACUAAUGGUUCGUUUGUUCAACGAUUAAAACCCUACGUGAUCUGAGUUCAGACGGGA
This 602-nucleotide ribosomal RNA is filed under the name Thoropa miliaris (rock river frog). RNAcentral describes it as "partial 16S ribosomal RNA". It matches the Rfam family "Bacterial large subunit ribosomal RNA", at positions 1796 to 2620 of the family's 2925-position model. Lineage: Eukaryota; Metazoa; Chordata; Amphibia; Anura; Cycloramphidae. The record is from RNAcentral.